GGGGGGGCGAGCGUUGUCCGGAAUCACUGGGCGUAAAGGGCGCGUAGGUGGUUUGAUAAGGGUGUGGUGAAAGCCCGGGGCUCAACCCCGGGUCUGCCGUGCCGACUGUCAAACUCGAGGGCUGUAGAGGCAGACGGAAUUCCGGGUGUAGCGGUGGAAUGCGUAGAGAUCCGGAGGAAGACCGGUGGCGAAGGCGGUCUGCUGGGCAGUUUCUGACACUGAUGCGCGACAGCGUGGGGAGCAAACAGGAUUAGAUACCCUGGUAGUCCACGCCGUAAACGAUGGGUACUAGGUGCCUGGGGGAGCGACCCUCUGGGUGCCGGCGCUAACGCAGGAAGUACCCCGCCUGGGGAGUACGACCGCAAGGGUG
This 370-nucleotide ribosomal RNA is filed under the name uncultured bacterium. RNAcentral describes it as "bacterial SSU rRNA". It matches the Rfam family "Bacterial small subunit ribosomal RNA", at positions 528 to 896 of the family's 1533-position model. The record is from RNAcentral.